This 472-nucleotide ribosomal RNA is filed under the name uncultured bacterium. RNAcentral describes it as "SSU rRNA". It matches the Rfam family "Bacterial small subunit ribosomal RNA", at positions 26 to 507 of the family's 1533-position model. The record is from RNAcentral.
AGGAUGAACGCUGGCGGCGUGCCUAACACAUGCAAGUCGAACGCUCUCCAUUCGGUAGCAAUACUGAUGAAGAGGGAGUGGCGAACGGGUGAGUACCACGUGAGCAACCUGCCCCGAAGACUGGGACAACACCGGGAAACCGGUGCUAAUACCGGAUAUCCCUAUCGGAUCGCAUGAUCUGAUAAGGAAAUGGAUUCCGCUUCGGGAGGGGCUCGCGGCCUAUCAGCUAGUUGGUGAGGUAAUAGCUCACCAAGGCAUCGACGGGUAGCUGGUCUGAGAGGACGAUCAGCCACACUGGGACUGAGACACGGCCCAGACUCCUACGGGAGGCAGCAGUGGGGAAUCUUGCGCAAUGGGCGAAAGCCUGACGCAGCAACGCCGCGUGGAGGACGAAUGCUUUCUGAGUUGUAAACUCCUUUCAGCAGGGACGAUUGUGACGGUACCUGCAGAAGAAGCACCGGCCAACUACGUG